Trichechus manatus latirostris (Florida manatee) is the source of this 2726-nucleotide long non-coding RNA. RefSeq lists it as uncharacterized. Lineage: Eukaryota; Metazoa; Chordata; Mammalia; Sirenia; Trichechidae. The transcript is spliced from 2 exons. The record is from RefSeq and is a predicted model, not a curated record.
AUGGCUGUGUCAUCUGCAUAUUGCAGGUUGCUAAUGAGUCUUCCACCAAUCCUGAUGCCACACUCUUUGCACAGUCCCACCCAAUCAUUUUGUGGGAGUUACCAGACCAUGGCUGAAAGGGCCAUAUAAUAGAAAUUCACUGCACUGCAGGUAGUGAAGGUGUUCUUUCAGCUUUUUAAGUUUUAUGAAAUAUUUGAAAGAUACAUGCAAAUGUUUUGCAAUGUUUACUUUCUUUUAUCUUGACUUGCACGUGGAGGGUGGGAGAUUAUAACACUUUCAGGGCUUAGACUCUGUAGAUCUUAACCUUGUCCUGAGAGAGCCUGAGUUCCAACUUCCUGAAGGGGAUGCAAAUCCAGAACCCAAGGACAAGGACUGCAGAAGAGCCCAGCUGCUGACAUUCUGGAAGAAGACCUUCGUGAGAGGAAGAGAAGGGGACAUCCUGGGAUGGGACAUGGGGGCACAGACAUUUCAUAGGCAAUGCCUGGGAGGGGAUAGACUGGAAAUGGUUAUGGGGCUUAGGGGUGACACAGAAUGCAACCCGAUACUGUGUGACCUUGGGUACAUCGCUGUCCCUCUCUGAACCUCAAAUGCCACUCUGGGAACAGGGGAGGGGCAUGCAGGACUGAAGGAAUUCAGGAUAACUUUCCAAGAGAUAAGGAGCUUUGGUGGUUCAGUGGUUAAGAGCUCGGCUGCUAACCAAAUGUUGGCAGUUUGAAUCCUCCAGCCACUCCUUGGAAACCCUAUGGGGAGUUCUACUUUGUCCUAUAGUUCUGAGUUAGAAUAGAGUCGAUGACAACGGGUUUGGGUUUUUUGUUUGUUUUUUCCCCAAGAGAUAAAGCCCUCUUGUUCUGGCCCUGCCAGAUGUUGCCGUGACAGAAAAAAAGCCUGAGUACAUGAACAGCUGGACAGUUGAGUGAGUCCCCUGCUUCUGCCAGAAUACCAAAAACUUUCUUGUUGACAAAUUUAUUCCAGUGGACACUUUAUUGUCCUCACAUCUCUCAGCUCUCUGCAUCAUCCCAUAGUUGACUUCUCCCUCUAGAAAUGCCGCUUCUUGGCUGUUGUGACCUCACUGCCUCCUGGUUUUCUUGCAACCUCAUGGAGCCCUUCUUCAUGGUCCCAUUUGCUAGCUCCUCUUCCUCUGUCUGACCUUCUAGUAGGUAUAGGGCUCCAAGUCUCAAUGGAGUGCAUGAAGAAAUGAAUAACCUGAAAGUCUCCUCUGCUUCCCUUCAUUCAUUCACUCUACAAAUACUUAGAGGAAGCUCACCAUUUAUAAAGGCUCCAUUUAGGUGCUUCAGAUACAGCAGUGAGCAAACCUGUCUCCAUCUUCACUGAGCUCACCUUCUAGCAGGUCAGAGACAAAAUGCAAAUACAUGAGUAGUGUCCAAGUGUGCAAAGUGCUGUUAUGAAAAAUAAAACAAUAUACAAGGAAUCAGGGAGAGUUAGUCUGAAUUAUAAGGGAGCAGUGGUGAGAAGGUGGCAUUUGGGGAGAGACCUGAUUGGAGAGAACCAUACAAGCAGUUAAUAGAGAGGCACACCCUGGCAGAGGAAAGAGCAAGCGCAAAGAUUCUGGACAGGAACAUGCUUAGUGAGGAAGAUGGGUCAUGUGGCUGGAGACAAAUAAGAGUUAGAGUGUUAGGAUAAGAGGCCAGAACUACAGGAAGAGACCAGGUUCUGCAGAGUCUCGGGUUUUAUGUCAGCAGGGGACUGAAAAUAUCUGAUUUAAAUGUUUCAAGAAUUACUCUGGCAACAGUGUGAAAAAUUGAGGGAAGGCAAGGGUGAAAUCGAGGAGACCAGUCUCCCCUCACUGCUUCUCUCCAGAAGAGCCUUGAAGAUGAAAACCCCCAGGCAGUGACAUAUGCCAUUCAAGAACUGGGUGGGGAGUGGCCUCCUCUCCUUCAUCCAUGUCCAGGGAAUUGCAGGACAUGAAGGACAGACAACUGAAGAGGACAGGCAGACAAAGAGUCAGGUGCAUCCUUUCCAUUCCUCCAGGCUUCCCCCACACAAACCACUAUUUGUCUCUUACUCUUACCCCACCCUCAGACUGAAGACCCCCAUGAUGUGACUAUGCCCAGCUGAGCUGCUUGAUACUCAAACAGGAGACAACCGCACCCCCUUCCUCCUAGACAUGAGACUCCCCGAGAUGGUCCCAGUAUGCAUGCUGCUCUCACCAUGCAUUAGCCCAGAAAAAACCCAGACCCCACGUUUAAGGAUGUGGCUAGCAGGGAACCUGGAAGGCACAGGACCUGCUUAUGGUCACUAACUAGUGAAUUCCUGAUACAGACCACCAGGAGAUUCUGGGAAAUAUUUUGAAGAAACCUGAUUCUGCAGUCAAAGACUACUAACAUCAAUAUAUUUUGAAAAUAAAGCAACAUGCUUCUAAAUAAUCAAUGAGCUAAAGUAGAGAAUAAAACAGAUGUGAAAGGAUAAAUGUAAAUAUUACACAACAAACAGAUAAAUUGGGAAAAUUACAAAUCUUAACUGAAAAUAUUACAAGAGGAAAAGCCUAAAAAUCAAUGACCUAAUGUAAACCUUCACUGAAAAGCACAAUUAAAUAUAAUUUUUUAAUCCAUUUCCUCAGCUAUCAUAUCCAGAAGUUAGAAAAAAUAGCAAAUUAAUUCAAUGAAAGUAGACUGAAAGAAAUAAUAAUGAUGAGAGUAAUUGCGAAGGAGAACAAAAAAUAGAAAAAGCCAAAAAAAAAAAGCUCAUUCUCAUAAACAUUAAUCACA